GCAGUGUUGGUUCAGUGGGAGAAUUCCCACCUUCCAUGUGGGAGACCUGGGUUCUAUUCCUGGCUAAUGCG
Molecule: transfer RNA, 71 nt
Filed under: Loxodonta africana (African savanna elephant)
Lineage: Eukaryota; Metazoa; Chordata; Mammalia; Proboscidea; Elephantidae
Rfam family: tRNA
About the family: Transfer RNA (tRNA) molecules are approximately 80 nucleotides in length.
Source: Rfam by way of RNAcentral